CGCGUGAGUGAAGAAGGCCUUCGGGUUGUAAAGCUCUUUCAGCCGGGAAGAAAGCGCACUCUCUAACAUAGGUGUGGAUGACGGUACCGGAAGAAGAAGCACCGGCUAACUACGUGCCAGCAGCCGCGGUAAUACGUAGGGUGCGAGCGUUAAUCGGAAUUACUGGGCGUAAAGGGUGCGCAGGCGGUUUUGUAAGACAGAUGUGAAAUCCCCGGGCUUAACCUGGGAACUGCGUUUGUGACUGCAAGGCUAGAGUACGGCAGAGGGGGUGGAAUUCCGCGUGUAGCAGUGAAAUGCGUAGAUAUGCGGAGGAACACCGAUGGCGAAGGCAACCCCCUGGGCCUGUACUGACGCUCAUGCACGAAAGCGUGGGGAGCAAACAGGAUUAGAUACCCUGGUAGUCCACGCCCUAAACGAUGUCAACUAGUCGUUCGGAGCAGCAAUGCACUGAGUGACGCAGCUAACGCGUGAAGUUG
Molecule: ribosomal RNA, 476 nt
Filed under: uncultured bacterium
Lineage: Bacteria
Description: bacterial SSU rRNA
Rfam family: Bacterial small subunit ribosomal RNA
Source: RNAcentral